UCAGGCCUAACACAUGCAAGUCGAACGAACCCUUCGGGGUUAGUGGCGCACGGGUGCGUAACGCGUGGGGAUCUGCCCUUUGCUUCGGAAUAACAGUUAGAAAUGACUGCUAAUACCGGAUGAUGUCGAAAGACCAAAGAUUUAUCGGCAAAGGAUGAACCCGCGUAGGAUUAGCUAGUUGGUGGGGUAAAGGCCUACCAAGGCGACGAUCCUUAGCUGGUCUGAGAGGAUGAUCAGCCACACUGGGACUGAGACACGGCCCAGACUCCUACGGGAGGCAGCAGUGGGGAAUAUUGGACGAUGGGCGAAAGCCUGAUCCAGCAAUGCCGCGUGAAAAUGGAGGCCUUAGGGUUGUAAAGCUCUUUACCAGGGAUGAUA
RNAcentral lists this ribosomal RNA (378 nucleotides) under uncultured bacterium. Its description in RNAcentral is "bacterial SSU rRNA". It matches the Rfam family "Bacterial small subunit ribosomal RNA", at positions 42 to 450 of the family's 1533-position model. The record is from RNAcentral.